Molecule: small nuclear RNA, 104 nt
Filed under: Carlito syrichta (Philippine tarsier)
Lineage: Eukaryota; Metazoa; Chordata; Mammalia; Primates; Tarsiidae
Source: RNAcentral
GUGCUUGCUUCAGCAACACAUAUACUAACAUUGGAACAGUACAGAGAAGAUUAGCAUGGCCUCUACGCAAAUUCGUGAAGCAAAUUCGUGACAUGCAAAUUCGU